RNAcentral lists this ribosomal RNA (651 nucleotides) under Microbacterium sp. RNAcentral describes it as "bacterial SSU rRNA". It matches the Rfam family "Bacterial small subunit ribosomal RNA", at positions 82 to 746 of the family's 1533-position model. The record is from RNAcentral. Lineage: Bacteria; Bacillati; Actinomycetota; Actinomycetes; Micrococcales; Microbacteriaceae.
CUCUGUGGGAUCAGUGGCGAACGGGUGAGUAACACGUGAGCAACCUACCCCUGACUCUGGGAUAAGCGCUGGAAACGGCGUCUAAUACUGGAUACGAGUGGCGACCGCAUGGUCAGCUACUGGAAAGAUUUAUUGGUUGGGGAUGGGCUCGCGGCCUAUCAGCUUGUUGGUGAGGUAAUGGCUCACCAAGGCGUCGACGGGUAGCCGGCCUGAGAGGGUGACCGGCCACACUGGGACUGAGACACGGCCCAGACUCCUACGGGAGGCAGCAGUGGGGAAUAUUGCACAAUGGGCGCAAGCCUGAUGCAGCAACGCCGCGUGAGGGAUGACGGCCUUCGGGUUGUAAACCUCUUUUAGCAGGGAAGAAGCGAAAGUGACGGUACCUGCAGAAAAAGCGCCGGCUAACUACGUGCCAGCAGCCGCGGUAAUACGUAGGGCGCAAGCGUUAUCCGGAAUUAUUGGGCGUAAAGAGCUCGUAGGCGGUUUGUCGCGUCUGCUGUGAAAUCCGGAGGCUCAACCUCCGGCCUGCAGUGGGUACGGGCAGACUAGAGUGCGGUAGGGGAGAUUGGAAUUCCUGGUGUAGCGGUGGAAUGCGCAGAUAUCAGGAGGAACACCGAUGGCGAAGGCAGAUCUCUGGGCCGUAACUGACGC